GGCGGCAAUACACUUAACAAGAUUACCAGGUGUGAACAAAUGACUAUUUCGCGCCCUUUCAGAAAAUGACAUGAAUGAUGAUAACAACAAUAGUAAUUUGAAAUCUUGAUUUUGGAAAUAGGUCUCAUAUUUGAAUCUGAGUAGGAAAAUUAAUAUCCCAUGAAUUCAGAGAUUACUAAGCAAACAGAAACUCUCUGCAAAAAGUAACCAACCUCUUCCAACUUUUCUCAAUGGAUGAUGCUGUAAGAUUGCUCCUCAUAUAUUUCCAUUUGUCCAUGAUUUCCUUCAACCUGGCUCAAGAUGUAGGCCAAUUUGUCUAUAAUGGCUUCCUGGGAGCCAAACUCCAUCUUGAUGGAAUUGCAAAAAUCCAUCCUAAUGGUCUGUUGCAGCUAACCAACACUUCAAAGCAGAAAAUGGGUCAU
RNAcentral lists this unclassified non-coding RNA (422 nucleotides) under Hevea brasiliensis (rubber tree). Lineage: Eukaryota; Viridiplantae; Streptophyta; Magnoliopsida; Malpighiales; Euphorbiaceae. The record is from RNAcentral.